RNAcentral lists this unclassified non-coding RNA (229 nucleotides) under plant metagenome. RNAcentral describes it as "partial contains small subunit ribosomal RNA, internal transcribed spacer 1, and 5.8S ribosomal RNA". The record is from RNAcentral.
UCUCCGUAGGUGAACCUGCGGAGGGAUCAUUACAGAGUUCUCGCCCUCGCGGGUAGAUCUCCCACCCACUGUUAUCGUUACUGUGUUGCUUUGGCGGGCCGCCGGGCCCCGCUCGGCCGCCGGCUCCGGCUGGCGCGCGCCCGCCAGAGGCCCAGCAAACUCUGAAUGUUAGUGUCGUCUGAGUGCUAUAUAAUAGCUAAAACUUUCAACAACGGAUCUCUUGGUUCUG